GCUGCCGAUCGCCCACGGGGAGCCCGGGUCGUUCGGGCCGGCCUCGAGCGUGUUGUUCGGGCCUUUGCGGAAGUC
RNAcentral lists this transfer RNA (75 nucleotides) under Leifsonia poae. RNAcentral describes it as "tRNA-Pro". Lineage: Bacteria; Bacillati; Actinomycetota; Actinomycetes; Micrococcales; Microbacteriaceae. The record is from RNAcentral.